ACAAACUUUUUGAUCGGUACAUCAAUUUUUUUUUAAAAAAAAUACUUGGUUCAACUCGGUUCUUAAGCAUAAUCAAGUGCCUAAAUGCUAAAUACUAACUUAUUUGAGAAUUUUUAAAAAUUUUAUUAUUAUUAUUAUUCUUUCUUCUAACUUAAUUGACAUUGUUUUCAAUGGAGUAGAAAAAAUAAAGUAUGAUAGAUAAAGAGGA
RNAcentral lists this long non-coding RNA (208 nucleotides) under Elaeis guineensis (African oil palm). RNAcentral describes it as "long non-coding RNA (EGUI_LNC066317)". Lineage: Eukaryota; Viridiplantae; Streptophyta; Magnoliopsida; Arecales; Arecaceae. The record is from RNAcentral.